GUGAGGAAUAUUGCGCAAUGGAGGCAACUCUGACGCAGCCAUGCCGCGUGCAGGAAGAAGGCGCUACGCGUUGUAAACUGCUUUUAACCGGGAAGAAACCCCAGGACGUGUCCUGGGUUGACGGUACCGGAGGAAUAAGCACCGGCUAACUUCGUGCCAGCAGCCGCGGUAAUACGAAGGGUGCAAGCGUUAUCCGGAUUCAUUGGGUUUAAAGGGUGCGUAGGCGGAGCGUUAAGUCAGUGGUGAAAUCCUGCAGCUUAACUGUAGACUGGCCAUUGAUACUGGCGCUCUUGAGUGCGCUUGAAGUGGGCGGAAUGUGCCGUGUAGCGGUGAAAUGCUUAGAUAUGGCACAGAACACCAAUUGCGAAGGCAGCUCACUAAGGCGAUACUGACGCUGAGGCACGAAAGCGUGGGGAUCGAACAGGAUUAGAUACCCCAGUAGUCC
This 445-nucleotide ribosomal RNA is filed under the name uncultured bacterium. RNAcentral's name for it is "partial 16S ribosomal RNA". It matches the Rfam family "Bacterial small subunit ribosomal RNA", at positions 354 to 796 of the family's 1533-position model. The record is from RNAcentral.